Molecule: long non-coding RNA, 15703 nt
Organism: Ctenopharyngodon idella (grass carp)
Lineage: Eukaryota; Metazoa; Chordata; Actinopteri; Cypriniformes; Xenocyprididae
Exons: 3
Source: RefSeq, a predicted model, not a curated record
UGAACAAGCUGCACUAGUGACCAUGAGCACCUUUACCAUGAACGGGAAUGAUCAAAACUGUUUUGUGAUCAUCUCAACACCUGAUGACAGGAGAGACACUGAGCUUUCUGCCACAAAUGAGUGGAACAUGCGAGCGAUCUUUGGAAAAGUGUUUCUGCACACUUGUAAACUUCUGUUGGAUCGCAUGAUACAAAUGCUCUUCUAAACCACAGCAGAAUUACCAGUUGCUCAUCCAUCUAUAAAACACUGUUGAGCAGAGACCUACUGACUAGAUGGCAGAGAAACUACCCGCCUUCAAAUCACUGAAAUUUUGACCCUAAAAUCACCAGCAUACGUUCAAGAGGAGGAGCGUAAAAUCUGAACCUGCUACUCAUUGUGCCUCGUCACUGCUGUCAUUCAUCCAGCAUUGUGUCUCUCCUACAUCGGAUCCGAUUUAUAGUCAAUGUAGCACAGGGAUUCUUUGAGCUCCAGGAACAGUGACAUGGCCGAUCCGACACAAGCUGAGAUUGACUGAGUCUGUGCUUCAGCUUCUGGACUCACAUUCAUCACAGAUCAUCAUGAUAUUUAUUCAUCUGUUUUGUGACUCUCCAGCACUGACGAUGAUUAAAAGAGUUUUCAACAUGAAUCUGUCAAAAGUCUAAUUGUAAGAAUGCUUUAAUAAAAAUAAAAUCCUGUGAAUUUCUCAAAGUUAUUGUCUGUUUGAAGCUUCUAACUAAACAUAAUAUGAUAAUGUCUACUAUUACAAAAUCAAGAAAUAAAAGUUUCUCAAGGAUGUUGUUCAGCCAUUAAGGGCAGACAAACUUAUUUAUUUUCAAAACUGAUAUAAAACACAGAAACAAAAACUUAAAAUGUUGUUUGACCCUUAUUUCCCAAAAUUAAAAAUGUAUAAAUGUAUUUUCAAUAUUAAAGUGACAUUUAUUUCAAAGACAGACAAUACAAAUAUACAACUUAUGGAUCCAAAUAUUUCUCAAAAAAUAAGUUUGUUGUGUUUCAAAAUAUAACAAUAUAUAGGUCAAAAUGACGACAAAAAGUGCUGAGACUUUCUGUUGAAUUACACAGAGAACAGCUUUGUCCAUGAAAGGCAUUGGUUACUCCUCAAGUAUUCUUUGAAACCCGUAAUCCUCGGAGAAAGUUCAUUCGGAGCACACAGAGAGGAAACUUAUUGCUUGAAGAAUGGUAGAUCAGUCGGCCUGAACAGUCGUUGAUAAAUUCCCUCAACGUUUUUGUCCGGCCAGUCCAUAAUUAUUCCGGUGUCCAUAAUUAGUCCGGAGCCGUAAAAUUUCGAUGUGGAGAAGGAGAAUCUGAUUUCUGUAGAGAACUGAAGGAAAAUCCCGACAGAAGACGAAGGCAGCAGGCGGGACUCUGGACUCUGACCCGCCUGCUACAGUUGAGCAAAACACCAGCUUUUGAGCACAUGAUACAAAGACUGACGAAUAGAAAGAAAGACUUCCCUAUUCCGGAGACUAUCAUACAGACACUUCGGACAUGUUGAUGUUAAUACAUUAACCUCUUACUGAUCUACCAUUCUCCAAGCACUAAGCUCUCUUUUCCCAGGGCUGUAAAUGGACUUCCUUCGAGGAUCAGUAGGAUCGCACUGACAAACACUGAAAUUCAUUACAACCGGUUGUUGUCUCUUGGCCAUAACCACAACUUUAUAGUCUCCACAGGUCCUUUACUUGCAGGUUUGUUAGAUUUAACGCUCAUACCCAUAUGAGCCCAUACCCAUACUCUACAUUAAUUUUGCUCGGUUGACUGUAGCCGCUAAAGGGGCGGAACAGAGAUAACAAAGCUGCACUAUGCAGGAAUAAAAACCCAGUUCACAAGCACUUGUUAGGAUGUGGGAAACCUUUUCUCCAAUAACUGAACAAGCUGCACUAGUGACCAUGAGCACCUUUACCAUGAACGGGAAUGAUCAAAACUGUGUUGUGAUCAUCUCAACACCUGAUGACAGGAGAGACACUGAGCUUUCUGCCACAAAUGAGUGGAACAUGCGAGCGAUCUUUGGAAAAGUGUUUCUGCACGCUUGUAAACUUCUGCUGGAUCGCAUGAUACAAGCGCUCUUCUAAACUUCACAAUAAAGAGAAUACUGAAAGAGAAGAGCUCAACCACAGUGACAUUGCCGAUCCGACACAAGCUGAGAUUGACUGAGUCUGUGCUUCAGCUUCUGGACUCACAUUCAUCACAGAUCAUCAUGAUAUUUAUUCAUCUGUUUUGUGACUCUCCAGCACUGAUGAUGAUUAAAAGAGUUUUCAACAUGAAUCUGUCAAAAGUCUCAUGUAAGAAUACUUUAAUAAAAAUAAAAUCCUGUGAAUUUCUCAAAGUUAUUGUCUGUUUAAAGCUUCUUACCUGCUUCUAACUAAAUAUUAUAUGAUAAUGUCUACUAUUACAAAACUCGAGAAAUAAAAGUUUCUCAAGGAUGUUGUUCAGCCAUUAAGGGCAGACAAACUUAUUUAUUUUCAGAACUGAUAUAAAACACAGAAACAAAAACUUAAGAUGUAGUUUGACCCUUAUUUCCCAAAAUUAAAAAUGUAUAAAUAUAUUUUCAAUAUUAAAGUGACAUUUAUUUCAAAGACAGACACUACAAAUGUACAAGCUUUUGGAUCCAAAUAUUUCUUAAAAAAUAAGUUUGUUGGGUUUCAAAAUAUAACAAUAUAUAGUUCAAAAUGACGACAAAAAGUGCUGAGACUUUCUGUUGAAUUACACAGAGAACAGCUUUGUCCAUGAAAGGCAUUGGUUACUCCUCAAGUAUUCUUUGAAACCCGUAAUCCUCGGAGAAAGUUCAUUCGGAGCACACAGAGAAGAAACUUAUUGCUUGAAGAAUGGUAGAUCAGUCGGCCUGAACAGUCGUUGAUAAAUUCCGUCAACGUUUUUGUCCGGCCAGUCCAUAAUUAUUCCGGUGUCCAUAAUCAGUCCGGAGCCAUAUUAGUCCGGAGCCGUAAAAUUUCGAUGUGGAGAAGGAGGAUCUGAUUUCUGUAGAGAACUGAAGGAAAAUCCCGACAGAAGACGAAGGCAGCAGGCGGGACUCUGGACUCUGACCCGCCUGCUACAGUUGAGCAAAACACCAGCUUUUGAGCACAUGAUACAAAGACUGACGAAUAGAAAGAAAGACUUCCCUAUUCCGGAGACUAUCAUACAGACACUUCAGACAUGUUGAUGUUAAUAUAUUAACCUCUUACUGAUCUACCAUUCUCCAAGCACUAAGCUGUCUUUUCCCAGGGCUGUAAAUGGACUUCCUUCGAGGAUCAGUAGGAUUGCACUGACAAACACUGAAAUUCAUUACAACCGGUUGUUGUCUCUUGUCCGUAACCACAACUUUAUAGUCUCCACAGGUCCUUUACUUGCAGGUUUGUUAGACUUAACACUCAUACCCAUAUGAGCCCAUACCCAUACUCUCUAUUAAUUUUGCUCGGUUGACUGUAGCCGCUAAAGGGGCGGAACAGAGAUAACAAAGCCGCACUAUGCAGGAAUAAAAACCCAGUUCACAAGCACUUGUUAGGAUGUGGGAAACCUUUUCUCCAAUAACUGAACAAGCUGCACUAGUGACCAUGAGCACCUUUACCAUGAACGGGAAUGAUCAAAACUGUGUUGUGAUCAUCUCAACACCUGAUGACAGGAGAGACACUGAGCUUUCUGCCACAAAUGAGUGGAACAUGCGAGCGAUCUUUGGAAAAGUGUUUCUGCACGCUUGUAAACUUCUGUUGGAUCGCAUGAUACAAAUGCUCUUCUAAACCACAGCAGAAUUACCAGUUGCUCAUCCAUCUAUAAAACACUGUUGAGCAGAGACCUACUGACUAGAUGGCAGAGAAACUACCCGCCUUCAAAUCACUGAAAUUUUGACCCUAAAAUCACCAGCAUACGUUCAAGAGGAGGAGCGUAAAAUCUGAACCUGCUACUCAUUGUGCCUCGUCACUGCUGUCAUUCAUCCAGCAUUGUGUCUCUCCUACAUCGGAUCCGAUUUAUAGUCAAUGUAGCACAGGGAUUCUUUGAGCUCCAGGAACAGUGACAUGGCCGAUCCGACACAAGCUGAGAUUGACUGAGUCUGUGCUUCAGCUUCUGGACUCACAUUCAUCACAGAUCAUCAUGAUAUUUAUUCAUCUGUUUUGUGACUCUCCAGCACUGACGAUGAUUAAAAGAGUUUUCAACAUGAAUCUGUCAAAAGUCUAAUUGUAAGAAUGCUUUAAUAAAAAUAAAAUCCUGUGAAUUUCUCAAAGUUAUUGUCUGUUUGAAGCUUCUAACUAAACAUAAUAUGAUAAUGUCUACUAUUACAAAAUCAAGAAAUAAAAGUUUCUCAAGGAUGUUGUUCAGCCAUUAAGGGCAGACAAACUUAUUUAUUUUCAAAACUGAUAUAAAACACAGAAACAAAAACUUAAAAUGUUGUUUGACCCUUAUUUCCCAAAAUUAAAAAUGUAUAAAUGUAUUUUCAAUAUUAAAGUGACAUUUAUUUCAAAGACAGACAAUACAAAUAUACAACUUAUGGAUCCAAAUAUUUCUCAAAAAAUAAGUUUGUUGUGUUUCAAAAUAUAACAAUAUAUAGGUCAAAAUGACGACAAAAAGUGCUGAGACUUUCUGUUGAAUUACACAGAGAACAGCUUUGUCCAUGAAAGGCAUUGGUUACUCCUCAAGUAUUCUUUGAAACCCGUAAUCCUCGGAGAAAGUUCAUUCGGAGCACACAGAGAGGAAACUUAUUGCUUGAAGAAUGGUAGAUCAGUCGGCCUGAACAGUCGUUGAUAAAUUCCCUCAACGUUUUUGUCCGGCCAGUCCAUAAUUAUUCCGGUGUCCAUAAUUAGUCCGGAGCCGUAAAAUUUCGAUGUGGAGAAGGAGAAUCUGAUUUCUGUAGAGAACUGAAGGAAAAUCCCGACAGAAGACGAAGGCAGCAGGCGGGACUCUGGACUCUGACCCGCCUGCUACAGUUGAGCAAAACACCAGCUUUUGAGCACAUGAUACAAAGACUGACGAAUAGAAAGAAAGACUUCCCUAUUCCGGAGACUAUCAUACAGACACUUCGGACAUGUUGAUGUUAAUACAUUAACCUCUUACUGAUCUACCAUUCUCCAAGCACUAAGCUCUCUUUUCCCAGGGCUGUAAAUGGACUUCCUUCGAGGAUCAGUAGGAUCGCACUGACAAACACUGAAAUUCAUUACAACCGGUUGUUGUCUCUUGUCCAUAACCACAACUUUAUAGUCUCCACAGGUCCUUUACUUGCAGGUUUGUUAGACUUAACGCUCAUACCCAUAUGAGCCCAUACCCAUACUCUACAUUAAUUUUGCUCGGUUGACUGUAGCCGCUAAAGGGGCGGAACAGAGAUAACAAAGCCGCACUAUGCAGGAAUAAAAACCCAGUUCACAAGCACUUGUUAGGAUGUGGGAAACCUUUUCUCCAAUAACUGAACAAGCUGCACUAGUGACCAUGAGCACCUUUACCAUGAACGGGAAUGAUCAAAACUGUGUUGUGAUCAUCUCAACACCUGAUGACAGGAGAGACACUGAGCUUUCUGCCACAAAUGAGUGGAACAUGCGAGCGAUCUUUGGAAAAGUGUUUCUGCACGCUUGUAAACUUCUGCUGGAUCGCAUGAUACAAGCGCUCUUCUAAACUUCACAAUAAAGAGAAUACUGAAAGAGAAGAGCUCAACCACAGUGACAUUGCCGAUCCGACACAAGCUGAGAUUGACUGAGUCUGUGCUUCAGCUUCUGGACUCACAUUCAUCACAGAUCAUCAUGAUAUUUAUUCAUCUGUUUUGUGACUCUCCAGCACUGAUGAUGAUUAAAAGAGUUUUCAACAUGAAUCUGUCAAAAGUCUCAUGUAAGAAUACUUUAAUAAAAAUAAAAUCCUGUGAAUUUCUCAAAGUUAUUGUCUGUUUAAAGCUUCUUACCUGCUUCUAACUAAAUAUUAUAUGAUAAUGUCUACUAUUACAAAACUCGAGAAAUAAAAGUUUCUCAAGGAUGUUGUUCAGCCAUUAAGGGCAGACAAACUUAUUUAUUUUCAGAACUGAUAUAAAACACAGAAACAAAAACUUAAGAUGUAGUUUGACCCUUAUUUCCCAAAAUUAAAAAUGUAUAAAUAUAUUUUCAAUAUUAAAGUGACAUUUAUUUCAAAGACAGACACUACAAAUGUACAAGCUUUUGGAUCCAAAUAUUUCUUAAAAAAUAAGUUUGUUGGGUUUCAAAAUAUAACAAUAUAUAGUUCAAAAUGACGACAAAAAGUGCUGAGACUUUCUGUUGAAUUACACAGAGAACAGCUUUGUCCAUGAAAGGCAUUGGUUACUCCUCAAGUAUUCUUUGAAACCCGUAAUCCUCGGAGAAAGUUCAUUCGGAGCACACAGAGAAGAAACUUAUUGCUUGAAGAAUGGUAGAUCAGUCGGCCUGAACAGUCGUUGAUAAAUUCCGUCAACGUUUUUGUCCGGCCAGUCCAUAAUUAUUCCGGUGUCCAUAAUCAGUCCGGAGCCAUAUUAGUCCGGAGCCGUAAAAUUUCGAUGUGGAGAAGGAGGAUCUGAUUUCUGUAGAGAACUGAAGGAAAAUCCCGACAGAAGACGAAGGCAGCAGGCGGGACUCUGGACUCUGACCCGCCUGCUACAGUUGAGCAAAACACCAGCUUUUGAGCACAUGAUACAAAGAUUGACGAAUAGAAAGAAAGACUUCCCUAUUCCGGAGACUAUCAUACAGACACUUCAGACAUGUUGAUGUUAAUAUAUUAACCUCUUACUGAUCUACCAUUCUCCAAGCACUAAGCUGUCUUUUCCCAGGGCUGUAAAUGGACUUCCUUCGAGGAUCAGUAGGAUUGCACUGACAAACACUGAAAUUCAUUACAACCGGUUGUUGUCUCUUGUCCGUAACCACAACUUUAUAGUCUCCACAGGUCCUUUACUUGCAGGUUUGUUAGACUUAACACUCAUACCCAUAUGAGCCCAUACCCAUACUCUCUAUUAAUUUUGCUCGGUUGACUGUAGCCGCUAAAGGGGCGGAACAGAGAUAACAAAGCCGCACUAUGCAGGAAUAAAAACCCAGUUCACAAGCACUUGUUAGGAUGUGAGAAACCUUUUCUCCAAUAACUGAACAAGCUGCACUAGUGACCAUGAGCACCUUUACCAUGAACGGGAAUGAUCAAAACUGUGUUGUGAUCAUCUCAACACCUGAUGACAGGAGAGACACUGAGCUUUCUGCCACAAAUGAGUGGAACAUGCGAGCGAUCUUUGGAAAAGUGUUUCUGCACGCUUGUAAACUUCUGUUGGAUCGCAUGAUACAAAUGCUCUUCUAAACCACAGCAGAAUUACCAGUUGCUCAUCCAUCUAUAAAACACUGUUGAGCAGAGACCUACUGACUAGAUGGCAGAGAAACUACCCGCCUUCAAAUCACUGAACUUUGACCCUAAAAUCACCAGCAUACGUUCAAGAGGAGGAGCGUAAAAUCUGAACCUGCUACUCAUUGUGCCUCGUCACUGCUGUCAUUCAUCCAGCAUUGUGUCUCUCCUACAUCGGAUCCGAUUUAUAGUCAAUGUAGCACAGGGAUUCUUUGAGCUCCAGGAACAGUGACAUGGCCGAUCCGACACAAGCUGAGAUUGACUGAGUCUGUGCUUCAGCUUCUGGACUCACAUUCAUCACAGAUCAUCAUGAUAUUUAUUCAUCUGUUUUGUGACUCUCCAGCACUGACGAUGAUUAAAAGAGUUUUCAACAUGAAUCUGUCAAAAGUCUAAUUGUAAGAAUGCUUUAAUAAAAAUAAAAUCCUGUGAAUUUCUCAAAGUUAUUGUCUGUUUGAAGCUUCUAACUAAACAUAAUAUGAUAAUGUCUACUAUUACAAAAUCAAGAAAUAAAAGUUUCUCAAGGAUGUUGUUCAGCCAUUAAGGGCAGACAAACUUAUUUACUUUCAAAACUGAUAUUAAAACACAGAAACAAAAACUUAAAAUGUUGUUUAACCCCUAUUUCCCAAAAUUAAAAAUGUAUAAAUGUAUUUUCAAUAUUAAAGUGACAUUUAUUUCAAAGACAGACACUACAAAUGUACAAGCUUUUGGAUCCAAAUAUUUCUUAAAAAAUAAGUUUGUUGGGUUUCAAAAUAUAACAAUAUAUAGUUCAAAAUGACGACAAAAAGUGCUGAGACUUUCUGUUGAAUUACACAGAGAACAGCUUUGUCCAUGAAAUGCAUUGGUUACUCUUCAAGUAUUCUUUGAAACAGUAAUCCUUAGAGAUCAUUCAUUCUGAGCACACAGAGAAGAAACUUAUUGCUUGAAGAAUGGUAGAUCAGUCGGCCUGAACAGUCGUUGAUAAAUUCCGUCAACGUUUUUGUCCGGCCAGUCCAUAAUUAUUCCGGUGUCCAUAAUCAGUCCGGAGCCAUAUUAGCCAGGAGCCGUAAAAUUUCGAUGUGGAGAAGGAGGAUCUGAUUUCUGUAGAGAACUGAAGGAAAAUCCCGACAGAAGACGAAGGCAGCAGGCGGGACUCUGGACUCUGACCCGCCUGCUACAGUUGAGCAAAACACCAGCUUUUGAGCACAUGAUACAAAGAUUGACGAAUAGAAAGAAAGACUUCCCUAUUCCGGAGACUAUCAUACAGACACUUCAGACAUGUUGAUGUUAAUAUAUUAACCUCUUACUGAUCUACCAUUCUCCAAGCACUAAGCUCUCUUUUCCCAGGGCUGUAAAUGGACUUCCUUCGAGGAUCAGUAGGAUUGCACUGACAAACACUGAAAUUCAUUACAACCGGUUGUUGUCUCUUGUCCGUAACCACAACUUUAUAGUCUCCACAGGUCCUUUACUUGCAGGUUUGUUAGACUUAACGCUCAUACCCAUAUGAGCCCAUACCCAUACUCUACAUUAAUUUUGCUCGGUUGACUGUAGCCGCUAAAGGGGCGGAACAGAGAUAACAAAGCUGCACUAUGCAGGAAUAAAAACCCAGUUCACAAGCACUUGUUAGGAUGUGGGAAACCUUUUCUCCAAUAACUGAACAAGCUGCACUAGUGACCAUGAGCACCUUUACCAUGAACGGGAAUGAUCAAAACUGUGUUGUGAUCAUCUCAACACCUGAUGACAGGAGAGACACUGAGCUUUCUGCCACAAAUGAGUGGAACAUGCGAGCGAUCUUUGGAAAAGUGUUUCUGCACGCUUGUAAACUUCUGCUGGAUCGCAUGAUACAAGCGCUCUUCUAAACUUCACAAUAAAGAGAAUACUGAAAGAGAAGAGCUCAACCACAGUGACAUUGCCGAUCCGACACAAGCUGAGAUUGACUGAGUCUGUGCUUCAGCUUCUGGACUCACAUUCAUCACAGAUCAUCAUGAUAUUUAUUCAUCUGUUUUGUGACUCUCCAGCACUGAUGAUGAUUAAAAGAGUUUUCAACAUGAAUCUGUCAAAAGUCUCAUGUAAGAAUACUUUAAUAAAAAUAAAAUCCUGUGAAUUUCUCAAAGUUAUUGUCUGUUUAAAGCUUCUUACCUGCUUCUAACUAAAUAUUAUAUGAUAAUGUCUACUAUUACAAAACUCGAGAAAUAAAAGUUUCUCAAGGAUGUUGUUCAGCCAUUAAGGGCAGACAAACUUAUUUAUUUUCAGAACUGAUAUAAAACACAGAAACAAAAACUUAAGAUGUAGUUUGACCCUUAUUUCCCAAAAUUAAAAAUGUAUAAAUAUAUUUUCAAUAUUAAAGUGACAUUUAUUUCAAAGACAGACACUACAAAUGUACAAGCUUUUGGAUCCAAAUAUUUCUUAAAAAAUAAGUUUGUUGGGUUUCAAAAUAUAACAAUAUAUAGUUCAAAAUGACGACAAAAAGUGCUGAGACUUUCUGUUGAAUUACACAGAGAACAGCUUUGUCCAUGAAAGGCAUUGGUUACUCCUCAAGUAUUCUUUGAAACCCGUAAUCCUCGGAGAAAGUUCAUUCGGAGCACACAGAGAAGAAACUUAUUGCUUGAAGAAUGGUAGAUCAGUCGGCCUGAACAGUCGUUGAUAAAUUCCGUCAACGUUUUUGUCCGGCCAGUCCAUAAUUAUUCCGGUGUCCAUAAUCAGUCCGGAGCCAUAUUAGUCCGGAGCCGUAAAAUUUCGAUGUGGAGAAGGAGGAUCUGAUUUCUGUAGAGAACUGAAGGAAAAUCCCGACAGAAGACGAAGGCAGCAGGCGGGACUCUGGACUCUGACCCGCCUGCUACAGUUGAGCAAAACACCAGCUUUUGAGCACAUGAUACAAAGAUUGACGAAUAGAAAGAAAGACUUCCCUAUUCCGGAGACUAUCAUACAGACACUUCAGACAUGUUGAUGUUAAUAUAUUAACCUCUUACUGAUCUACCAUUCUCCAAGCACUAAGCUGUCUUUUCCCAGGGCUGUAAAUGGACUUCCUUCGAGGAUCAGUAGGAUUGCACUGACAAACACUGAAAUUCAUUACAACCGGUUGUUGUCUCUUGUCCGUAACCACAACUUUAUAGUCUCCACAGGUCCUUUACUUGCAGGUUUGUUAGACUUAACGCUCAUACCCAUAUGAGCCCAUACCCAUACUCUCUAUUAAUUUUGCUCGGUUGACUGUAGCCGCUAAAGGGGCGGAACAGAGAUAACAAAGCCGCACUAUGCAGGAAUAAAAACCCAGUUCACAAGCACUUGUUAGGAUGUGAGAAACCUUUUCUCCAAUAACUGAACAAGCUGCACUAGUGACCAUGAGCACCUUUACCAUGAACGGGAAUGAUCAAAACUGUGUUGUGAUCAUCUCAACACCUGAUGACAGGAGAGACACUGAGCUUUCUGCCACAAAUGAGUGGAACAUGCGAGCGAUCUUUGGAAAAGUGUUUCUGCACGCUUGUAAACUUCUGUUGGAUCGCAUGAUACAAAUGCUCUUCUAAACCACAGCAGAAUUACCAGUUGCUCAUCCAUCUAUAAAACACUGUUGAGCAGAGACCUACUGACUAGAUGGCAGAGAAACUACCCGCCUUCAAAUCACUGAACUUUGACCCUAAAAUCACCAGCAUACGUUCAAGAGGAGGAGCGUAAAAUCUGAACCUGCUACUCAUUGUGCCUCGUCACUGCUGUCAUUCAUCCAGCAUUGUGUCUCUCCUACAUCGGAUCCGAUUUAUAGUCAAUGUAGCACAGGGAUUCUUUGAGCUCCAGGAACAGUGACAUGGCCGAUCCGACACAAGCUGAGAUUGACUGAGUCUGUGCUUCAGCUUCUGGACUCACAUUCAUCACAGAUCAUCAUGAUAUUUAUUCAUCUGUUUUGUGACUCUCCAGCACUGACGAUGAUUAAAAGAGUUUUCAACAUGAAUCUGUCAAAAGUCUAAUUGUAAGAAUGCUUUAAUAAAAAUAAAAUCCUGUGAAUUUCUCAAAGUUAUUGUCUGUUUGAAGCUUCUAACUAAACAUAAUAUGAUAAUGUCUACUAUUACAAAAUCAAGAAAUAAAAGUUUCUCAAGGAUGUUGUUCAGCCAUUAAGGGCAGACAAACUUAUUUACUUUCAAAACUGAUAUUAAAACACAGAAACAAAAACUUAAAAUGUUGUUUAACCCCUAUUUCCCAAAAUUAAAAAUGUAUAAAUGUAUUUUCAAUAUUAAAGUGACAUUUAUUUCAAAGACAGACACUACAAAUGUACAAGCUUUUGGAUCCAAAUAUUUCUUAAAAAAUAAGUUUGUUGGGUUUCAAAAUAUAACAAUAUAUAGUUCAAAAUGACGACAAAAAGUGCUGAGACUUUCUGUUGAAUUACACAGAGAACAGCUUUGUCCAUGAAAUGCAUUGGUUACUCUUCAAGUAUUCUUUGAAACAGUAAUCCUUAGAGAUCAUUCAUUCUGAGCACACAGAGAAGAAACUUAUUGCUUGAAGAAUGGUAGAUCAGUCGGCCUGAACAGUCGUUGAUAAAUUCCGUCAACGUUUUUGUCCGGCCAGUCCAUAAUUAUUCCGGUGUCCAUAAUUAGUCCGGAGCCAUAUUAGUCCGGAGCCGUGAAAUUUCGAUGUGGAGAAGGAGAAUCUGAUUUCUGUAGAGAACUGAAGGAAAAUCCCAACAGAAGACGAAGGCAGCAGGCGGGACUCUGGACUCUGACCCGCCUGCUACAGUUGAGCAAAACACCAGCUUUUGAGCACAUGAUACAAAGACUGACGAAUAGAAAGAAAGACUUCCCUAUUCCGGAGACUAUCAUACAGACACUUCGGACAUGUUGAUGUUAAUAUAUUAACCUCUUACUGAUCUACCAUUCUCCAAGCACUAAGCUCUCUUUUCCCAGGGCUGUAAAUGGACUUCCUUCGAGGAUCAGUAGGAUCGCACUGACAAACACUGAAAUUCAUUACAACCGGUUGUUGUCUCUUGGCCAUAACCACAACUUUAUAGUCUCCACAGGUCCUUUACUUGCAGGUUUGUUAGAUUUAACGCUCAUACCCAUAUGAGCCCAUACCCAUACUCUACAUUAAUUUUGCUCGGUUGACUGUAGCCGCUAAAGGGGCGGAACAGAGAUAACAAAGCUGCACUAUGCAGGAAUAAAAACCCAGUUCACAAGCACUUGUUAGGAUGUGGGAAACCUUUUCUCCAAUAACUGAACAAGCUGCACUAGUGACCAUGAGCACCUUUACCAUGAACGGGAAUGAUCAAAACUGUGUUGUGAUCAUCUCAACACCUGAUGACAGGAGAGACACUGAGCUUUCUGCCACAAAUGAGUGGAACAUGCGAGCGAUCUUUGGAAAAGUGUUUCUGCACGCUUGUAAACUUCUGCUGGAUCGCAUGAUACAAGCGCUCUUCUAAACUUCACAAUAAAGAGAAUACUGAAAGAGAAGAGCUCAACCACAGUGACAUUGCCGAUCCGACACAAGCUGAGAUUGACUGAGUCUGUGCUUCAGCUUCUGGACUCACAUUCAUCACAGAUCAUCAUGAUAUUUAUUCAUCUGUUUUGUGACUCUCCAGCACUGAUGAUGAUUAAAAGAGUUUUCAACAUGAAUCUGUCAAAAGUCUCAUGUAAGAAUACUUUAAUAAAAAUAAAAUCCUGUGAAUUUCUCAAAGUUAUUGUCUGUUUAAAGCUUCUUACCUGCUUCUAACUAAAUAUUAUAUGAUAAUGUCUACUAUUACAAAACUCGAGAAAUAAAAGUUUCUCAAGGAUGUUGUUCAGCCAUUAAGGGCAGACAAACUUAUUUAUUUUCAGAACUGAUAUAAAACACAGAAACAAAAACUUAAGAUGUAGUUUGACCCUUAUUUCCCAAAAUUAAAAAUGUAUAAAUAUAUUUUCAAUAUUAAAGUGACAUUUAUUUCAAAGACAGACACUACAAAUGUACAAGCUUUUGGAUCCAAAUAUUUCUUAAAAAAUAAGUUUGUUGGGUUUCAAAAUAUAACAAUAUAUAGUUCAAAAUGACGACAAAAAGUGCUGAGACUUUCUGUUGAAUUACACAGAGAACAGCUUUGUCCAUGAAAGGCAUUGGUUACUCCUCAAGUAUUCUUUGAAACCCGUAAUCCUCGGAGAAAGUUCAUUCGGAGCACACAGAGAAGAAACUUAUUGCUUGAAGAAUGGUAGAUCAGUCGGCCUGAACAGUCGUUGAUAAAUUCCGUCAACGUUUUUGUCCGGCCAGUCCAUAAUUAUUCCGGUGUCCAUAAUCAGUCCGGAGCCAUAUUAGUCCGGAGCCGUAAAAUUUCGAUGUGGAGAAGGAGGAUCUGAUUUCUGUAGAGAACUGAAGGAAAAUCCCGACAGAAGACGAAGGCAGCAGGCGGGACUCUGGACUCUGACCCGCCUGCUACAGUUGAGCAAAACACCAGCUUUUGAGCACAUGAUACAAAGAUUGACGAAUAGAAAGAAAGACUUCCCUAUUCCGGAGACUAUCAUACAGACACUUCAGACAUGUUGAUGUUAAUAUAUUAACCUCUUACUGAUCUACCAUUCUCCAAGCACUAAGCUGUCUUUUCCCAGGGCUGUAAAUGGACUUCCUUCGAGGAUCAGUAGGAUUGCACUGACAAACACUGAAAUUCAUUACAACCGGUUGUUGUCUCUUGUCCGUAACCACAACUUUAUAGUCUCCACAGGUCCUUUACUUGCAGGUUUGUUAGACUUAACGCUCAUACCCAUAUGAGCCCAUACCCAUACUCUACAUUAAUUUUGCUCGGUUGACUGUAGCCGCUAAAGGGGCGGAACAGAGAUAACAAAGCUGCACUAUGCAGGAAUAAAAACCCAGUUCACAAGCACUUGUUAGGAUGUGGGAAACCUUUUCUCCAAUAACUGAACAAGCUGCACUAGUGACCAUGAGCACCUUUACCAUGAACGGGAAUGAUCAAAACUGUGUUGUGAUCAUCUCAACACCUGAUGACAGGAGAGACACUGAGCUUUCUGCCACAAAUGAGUGGAACAUGCGAGCGAUCUUUGGAAAAGUGUUUCUGCACGCUUGUAAACUUCUGCUGGAUCGCAUGAUACAAGUGCUCUUUUAAACCACAGCAGAAUUACCAGUUGCUCAUCCAUCUAUAAAACACUGUUGAGCAGAGACCUACUGACUAGAUGGCAGAGAAACUACCCGCCUUCAAAUCACUGAAAUUUUGACCCCAAAAUCACCAGCAUACGUUCAAGAGGAGGAGCGUAAAAUCUGAACCUGCUACUCAUUGUGCCUCGUCACUGCUGUCAUUCAUCCAGCAUUGUGUCUCUCCUACAUCGGAUCCGAUUUAUAGUCAAUGUAGCACAGGGAUUCUUUGAGCUCCAGGAACAGUGACAUGGCCGAUCCGACACAAGCUGAGAUUGACUGAGUCUGUGCUUCAGCUUCUGGACUCACAUUCAUCACAGAUCAUCAUGAUAUUUAUUCAUCUGUUUUGUGACUCUCCAGCACUGACGAUGAUUAAAAGAGUUUUCAACAUGAAUCUGUCAAAAGUCUAAUUGUAAGAAUGCUUUAAUAAAAAUAAAAUCCUGUGAAUUUCUCAAAGUUAUUGUCUGUUUGAAGCUUCUUACCUGCUUCUAACUAAAUAUAAUAAGAUAAUGUCUACUAUUACAAAACUCGAGAAAUAAAAGUUUCUCAAGGAUGUUGUUCAGCCAUUAAGGGCAGACAAACUUACUUAUUUUCAAAACUGAUAUAAAACACAGAAACAAAAACUUAAGAUGUAGUUUGACCCUUAUUUCCCAAAAUUAAAAAUGUAUAAAUGUAUUUUCAAUAUUAAAGUGACAUUUAUUUCAAAGACAGACAAUACAAAUGUACAAGCUUUUGGAUCCAAAUAUUUCUCAAAAAUUAAGUUUGUUGGGUUUCAAAAUAUAACAAUAUAUAGUUCAAAUGACGACAAAAAGUGCUGAGACUUUCUGUUGAAUUACACAGAGCACAGUUUUGUCCAUGAAAGGCAUUGGUUACUCCUCAAGUAUUCUUUGAAACAGUAAUCCUUAGAGAUCGUUCAUUCGGAGCACACAGAGAAGAAACUUAUUGCUUGAAGAAUGGUAGAUCAGUCGGCCUGAACAGUCGUUGAUAAAUUCCAUCAACAUUUUUGUCCGGCCAGUCCAUAAUUAUUCCGGUGUCCAUAAUUAGUCCGGAGCCGAAAACUUUCGUCGCAGCGAAGGAGGAUCUGAUUUCUGAAGAAUACUGAAGGAAAAUCCCGACAGAAGACGAAGGCAGCAGGCGGGACUCUGGACUCUGACCCGCCUGCUACAGUUGAGCAAAACACCAGCUUUUGAGCACAUGAUACAAAGAUUGACGAAUAGAAAGAAAGACUUCCCUAUUCCGGAGACUAUCAUACAGACACUUCAGACAUGUUGAUGUUAAUACAUUAACCUCUUACUGAUCUACCAUUCUCCAAGCACUAAGCUCUCUUUUCCCAGGGCUGUAAAUGGAC